GUAGCAAUACGGAGUGGCGCACGGGUGAGUAACGCGUGGAUAAUCUGCCCUUCAGUGGGGAAUAACCAUCCGAAAGGAUGGCUAAUACCGCAUGAGACCACAUGACCUGCGGGUCGAGAGGUUAAAGAUUUAUCGCUGAAGGAUGAGUCUGCGUGGGAUUAGCUAGUUGGUGGGGUAAUGGCCUACCAAGGCAACGAUCCCUAGCUGGUCUGAGAGGAUGGCCAGCCACACUGGAACUGAGACACGGUCCAGACUCCUACGGGAGGCAGCAGUAGGGAAUAUUGCGCAAUGGACGAAAGUCUGACGCAGCGACGCCGCGUGAGUGAUGAAGGCCUUAGGGUCGUAAAGCUCUGUUGAAUGGGAAGAAAAAAAUGACGGUACCAUUUGAGGAAGGACCGGCUAACUUCGUGCCAGCAGCCGCGGUAAUACGAGGGGUCCUAGCGUUGUUCGGAAUCAUUGGGCGUAAAGGGUGUGUAGGUGGCCUUAUAAGUCAGGUGUGAAAGCCCCGGGCUCAACCCGGGAAGUGCAUCUGAUACUGUUUGGCCUGAGUACCGAAGAGGAUAGUGGAAUUCCAGGUGUAGUGGUGAAAUACGUAGAUAUCUGGAGGAACACCGGUGGCGAAGGCGGCUAUCUGGUCGAGUACUGACACUGAGACACGAAAGCGUGGGGAUCAAACAGGAUUAGAUACCCUGGUAGUCCACGCCGUAAACGAUGGGUACUUGGUGUUGGAGGUAUUGACCCCUUCAGUGCCGAAGCUAACGCGUUAAGUACCCCGCCUGGGGAGUACGGCCGCAAGGUUAAAACUCAAAGAAAUUGACGGGGGC
Molecule: ribosomal RNA, 824 nt
Filed under: uncultured delta proteobacterium
Lineage: Bacteria; Deltaproteobacteria
Description: bacterial SSU rRNA
Rfam family: Bacterial small subunit ribosomal RNA
Source: RNAcentral